RNAcentral lists this small RNA (106 nucleotides) under Klebsiella ornithinolytica. RNAcentral describes it as "RtT RNA". It matches the Rfam family "RtT RNA", at positions 21 to 130 of the family's 130-position model. Rfam says of the family: This family represents a bacterial cis-regulatory element known as RtT RNA. The record is from RNAcentral. Lineage: Bacteria; Pseudomonadati; Pseudomonadota; Gammaproteobacteria; Enterobacterales; Enterobacteriaceae.
GAUUCGAACCUGCGGCAGGUUCGAGUCGAGCAAGGCGAGACAACGGAGCCGCUGGCGGCGACGGCCCGAAGGGCGAGCAAAGCGCGUUAUCCUGCACGACCCACCA